UACGAAGGGGGCUAGCGUUGUUCGGAUUUACUGGGCGUAAAGCGCGUGUAGGCGGGCUGGAAAGUUGGGGGUGAAAUCCCGAGGCUCAACCUCGGAACUGCCUCCAAAACUUCCAGACUGGACUCAAGUAGAGGCAAGUGGAAUUGCGAGUGUAGAGGUGAAAUUCGUAGAUAUUCGCAGGAACACCAGUGGCGAAGGCGACUUGCUGGACUUGUAGUGACGCUGAGACGCGAAAGCGUGGGGAGCAAACAGG
RNAcentral lists this ribosomal RNA (253 nucleotides) under uncultured bacterium. Its description in RNAcentral is "partial 16S ribosomal RNA". It matches the Rfam family "Bacterial small subunit ribosomal RNA", at positions 524 to 776 of the family's 1533-position model. The record is from RNAcentral.